UCCGGUUGAUCCUGCCGGACCUGACUGCUAUCGGAUUGAUACUAAGCCAUGCGAGUCUUUGCAGUAAUGCAAGGCAUACGGCUCAGUAACACGUAGUCAACUUACCCUAUGGACGAGGAUAAUCUCGGGAAACUGAGCAUAAUACUCGAUAGAUCAUAAUGCCUGGAAUGGUUUAUGGUUAAAAUGAUUCGUCGCCAUAGGAUGGGACUGCGGCCUAUCAGCUUGUUGGUGAGGUAAUGGCCCACCAAGGCGAUUACAGGUACGGGCUCUGAGAGGAGAAGCCCGGAGAUGGGUACUGAGACAAGGACCCAGGCCCUAUGGGGCGCAGCAGGCGAGAAAACUUUGCAAUGUGCGAAAGCACGACAAGGUUAAUCCGAGUGAUUUCUGCUAAAGAAAUCUUUUGCAAGUCAUAAAACCACUAGUGAAUAAGGGGUGGGCAAGUUCUGGUGUCAGCCGCCGCGGUAAAACCAGCACCUCAAGUGGUCAGGAGGAUUAUUGGGCCUAAAGCAUCCGUAGCCGGCUCUGUAAGUUUUCGGUUAAAUCCAUGUGCUCAACGCAUGGGCUGCCGAAAAUACUGCAUAGCUAGGGAGUGGGAGAGGUAGACGGUACUCGGUAGGAAGGGGUAAAAUCCUUUGAUCUAUCGAUGACCACCUGUGGCGAAGGCGGUCUACCAGAACACGUUCGACGGUGAGGGAUGAAAGCUGGGGGAGCAAACCGGAUUAGAUACCCGGGUAGUCCCAGCUGUAAACGAUGCAGACUCGAUGAUGCAUUGGCAUAUAGCCAGUGCAGUGUCGCAGGGAAGCCGUUAAGUCUGCCGCCUGGGAAGUACGUACGCAAGUAUGAAACUUAAAGGAAUUGGCGGGGGAGCACCACAAGGGGUGAAGCCUGCGGUUCAAUUGGAUUCAACGCCG
Molecule: ribosomal RNA, 911 nt
Filed under: uncultured marine archaeon
Lineage: Archaea
Description: bacterial SSU rRNA
Rfam family: Archaeal small subunit ribosomal RNA
Source: RNAcentral